Molecule: long non-coding RNA, 1171 nt
Filed under: Ananas comosus (pineapple)
Lineage: Eukaryota; Viridiplantae; Streptophyta; Magnoliopsida; Poales; Bromeliaceae
Description: long non-coding RNA (ACOM_LNC041258)
Source: RNAcentral
AUAAUAUCAAAAAAUUGCAUAAUUUAUUUUCUAAGUACUUCAAAUACUCUAAAUCAAGUUUAACGAAGCCGAUCGACAAUUCGAAAGUCACAACAUGAAAAACGAUCUGGAAGCACGGAAGGCUUCAUGCUUCCAGAAGCAUAGUAGCCUCACUAUAUAUAUAUAUGCUAGGGCUACUAUACUCUUAUAAGUAUCGAGCCCUUCAUACUUAUAAGUUAAGUAUAGAGCUCUUCAUAUUUAUAAAUUAUUUUCAAUGAUGAAGCUUCUGAAUCGACGAUCCAUUCCGUUAAAUAUAAUCUAGAGUAUUUGAAAUUUAUAGAAAAUAAAUUUCGUAAUUUUUUAAAAUUAUAAUAAAGUUCAUCAAGCGGGUAUAAAAUGAACGGUCAAAAUCGAACGACGUCUUAAAAAUGGAUGAUCAGAUCCUUCAAUUUAAGAUCGAAGUUAUUGAUCUUUAUCUAUGUAAUGAAUAGAAUUUUCUAUCAAAACUUCAACUGAUUCCGAUUCUUUUAUAUCGUUAAACUAGCAAAUAUUUUAUAUUGGUCGUUAAAAAUUAUAAAUUUUGUGACAUUUUGAUCGUAAGGUAAAUGAUGUCAAAAAAUUAUAAAAUUUGAUUUCUAAACGUUUUAAAUGUUCGAGAUAACGUUUAACGGUGUAGAUCGUUAAUUCGGACUAUAUAUAUACAUAAGGGUUAUCAAAAGUAUGGAGGCUUCUGUGUUCCUAAGACAAACUUUCGAAUCGACGAUGAACUCCGUUAGAUUUGAUCUAACAUAUUCGAAGUAUGUCAAAAUAAACAUUGUAAUUUUUCGAUAUUAUUUAUUUAACAAUCGAAAGGGUUCAAAAUCAAUGGCUGAAUAUAAAAAUCUCACAAAAAGUGGUUAUAUAGCAUUAAAAUUUUCAAUCGAAAAUAUUGAUCUUGUUGUAAAUAGUAUAAAAAAAUUUCUAUCAAAAUUUUAUCUGAUUUGAAUACUUUUGUACUGUUAAACUUUCAAACGGUAUACAUCAACUAUUAAAAAUUGUUGAUUUUGAUCCUUUCAAUCGUUAGGUAAAUAAUAUCAAAAAAUCACAAAAUUUAUUUUUCUAGAUACUUUAAAUACGCUAGAUUAAGUCUAACGAACCCGAUCGUCAAUCAGAAAGUUCCAUCGAAGGACUACGUGUUUCUAAUAACACACAA